RNAcentral lists this non-coding RNA (26 nucleotides) under Homo sapiens (human). Lineage: Eukaryota; Metazoa; Chordata; Mammalia; Primates; Hominidae. The record is from RNAcentral.
AACCAGUGCUGAAGAAUAAUGAGUGA